GUUUGAUCCUGGCUCAGGAUGAACGCUGGCGGCGUGCCUAAUACAUGCAAGUCGAACGAGGUGCUUUUGUAGCAAUACGAAAGUAUCCUAGUGGCGAACGGGUGAGUAACGCGUUGGUGACCUACCCCAAAGUGUGGAAUAACAGUUCGAAAGAACUGCUAAUACCGCAUGUGGUUAUCGGCUUUAGAAACUGAUAACUAAAGGAGCAAUUCGCUUUGGGAGGGACCUGCGUCCCAUCAGCUAGUUGGUGAGGUAAUGGCUCACCAAGGCUACGACGGGUAGGGGACCUGAGAGGGUGACCCCCCACAAUGGAACUGAAACACGGUCCAUACACCUACGGGUGGCAGCAGUAGGGAAUAUUGCACAAUGGGCGAAAGCCUGAUGCAGCAACGCCGCGUGUGCGAUGAAGGCCUUGGGUCGUAAAGCACUUUUCUCGUAGAGAUGAGCGAAGGACGAGUAUACUCGAGGAAUAAGUCUCGGCUAACUACGUG
Molecule: ribosomal RNA, 491 nt
Filed under: uncultured bacterium
Lineage: Bacteria
Description: bacterial SSU rRNA
Rfam family: Bacterial small subunit ribosomal RNA
Source: RNAcentral